UCGCACUAGCCGGGGAGAUAGCGGUGCCCUGUAACCUGCAAUCCGCUAUAGCAGGGGUGAAUUCCCGCACCCGGAUCAUUUGCAGAAUCGUCUGGCCUGCGUAAGCAGCGUUGAAGGACCGGUCUUGCGCAACAAGAUCCCGUGAACCAUGUCAGGUGGGGAACCAAGCAGCAUUAAGCGGGUCAACUUGUGUGCCGCGAGGUUGCCGUUCCCGAGUUGGUUGCGCCGGUAUCGGAUUUUGCGGUGGUUCAAAUGUGGGUGUGCGA
RNAcentral lists this signal recognition particle RNA (266 nucleotides) under Oscillospiraceae bacterium. RNAcentral describes it as "signal recognition particle sRNA large type". It matches the Rfam family "Bacterial large signal recognition particle RNA". Rfam says of the family: The signal recognition particle (SRP) is a universally conserved ribonucleoprotein involved in the co-translational targeting of proteins to membranes. The record is from RNAcentral. Lineage: Bacteria; Bacillati; Bacillota; Clostridia; Eubacteriales; Oscillospiraceae.